Molecule: ribosomal RNA, 573 nt
Filed under: uncultured Spiroplasma sp.
Lineage: Bacteria; Bacillati; Mycoplasmatota; Mollicutes; Entomoplasmatales; Spiroplasmataceae
Description: bacterial SSU rRNA
Rfam family: Bacterial small subunit ribosomal RNA
Source: RNAcentral
AUUUAGUGGGGAAUAACUGUUGGAAACGACAGCUAAUACCGCAUAAUAUUGCUGGAUAAUUUCCAGUAAUGAAAGGAGCUUUCAAGCUCCGCUGAUUGAUGAGGAUGCGGCGCAUUAGCUAGUUGGUAGGGUAAUGGCCUACCAAGGCAAUGAUGCGUAGCCGAUCUGAGAGGAUGAACGGCCACAUUGGGACUGAGACACGGCCCAAACUUCUACGGAAGGCAGCAGUAGGGAAUUUUUCACAAUGGGCGAAAGCCUGAUGGAGCAAUGCCGCGUGACUGAUGAAGGUCUUCGGAUUGUAAAGGUCUGUUGUAAGGGAAGAAAUGGUAAAACAGGAAAUGGUUUUAUCUAUGACGGUACCUUACCAGAAAGCCACGGCUAACUAUGUGCCAGCAGCCGCGGUAAUACAUAGGUGGCAAGCGUUAUCCGGAUUUAUUGGGCGUAAAGGGUGCGUAGACGGUUUUGCAAGUCUGAGGUUAAAUUUAGGAGCUCAACUCCUAAUCGCCUUGGAAACUACAAGACUAGAGUAUAGGAGAGGUUAGUGGAAUUCCNUGUGUAGCGGUGGAAUGUGUA